GCGCUCGUAGCUCAGUAGGAUAGAGCAAUCGCCUCCUAAGCGAUAGGUCGUACGUUCAAUUCGUAUCGGGCGCG
Molecule: transfer RNA, 74 nt
Filed under: Vagococcus penaei
Lineage: Bacteria; Bacillati; Bacillota; Bacilli; Lactobacillales; Enterococcaceae
Rfam family: tRNA
About the family: Transfer RNA (tRNA) molecules are approximately 80 nucleotides in length. Their secondary structure includes four short double-helical elements and three loops (D, anti-codon, and T loops). Further hydrogen bonds mediate the characteristic L-shaped molecular structure. tRNAs have two regions of fundamental functional importance: the anti-codon, which is responsible for specific mRNA codon recognition, and the 3' end, to which the tRNAs corresponding amino acid is attached (by aminoacyl-tRNA synthetases). tRNAs cope with the degeneracy of the genetic code in two manners: having more than one tRNA (with a specific anti-codon) for a particular amino acid; and 'wobble' base-pairing, i.e. permitting non-standard base-pairing at the 3rd anti-codon position.
Source: Rfam by way of RNAcentral